RNAcentral lists this long non-coding RNA (1351 nucleotides) under Homo sapiens (human). Its description in RNAcentral is "HSALNT0019937". Lineage: Eukaryota; Metazoa; Chordata; Mammalia; Primates; Hominidae. The record is from RNAcentral.
GGAAGCAGAACUGAUUAUCUUUAAAAUUGUUUCCAGGGCCAUGAUAAUGUUUCAAAUAUAACUGGAUCUUUACAGUCUACCAAGUAGUUUCCGGUCCUUUAUCUCCUGGGAUCUGCCCAUCUAUUCUUUGAGAAUUGUGGUCAUUCUGUUAUCAUCCCAUUGUAAGGAUGAGGGGACUGAGGCUCAGAGAGGGUGUGUGGCUUGUCCAAAGUCACCACCACUUAGCAGCAAAGCUGGGCCUCAAAGGUGCUUCCUAUGUUCCGAGUCCACUGCUUUUCCUCCAUGCCACACCAUAUGUGCCCCAAGACAUUUCCAGGCUGGAGACAGCUGCUGUGAAAUGCAGUCUUCAGGGACACUUGAUUCUUAUGAAUGGCACCCACCAAAAAAGAUAUGUCCAUGUCCUAACCCCUAAAACCUGUGAUUGUGACCGUACUGGGAAAAGGGUCUUUGCAGAUGGCAUUAAGGGAAGGAUCUUGAGUUGAGAUUAUCCUGGAUUUAGGGCAGGUCCCCAAUCCAAUGGCAGGAGUACUUCCAAGAGAAAGGUAUAAGGAGACUGGAGACACAGAGAAGGCCACGUGAAGACAGAGGCAGUCUUAUGGAGUUAUACUGCCACGGCCAAGGAAUGCCCAGAGCCUCCAGAAGAAACUAACCAGGCUGACACCUUGAUUUUGGACUACCGGCUUCCAGAACUGUGAGCGAAUACUUUUCUGUUGUUUUAAGACACCAAGUUGGUGCUAAUUUCUGCAGCAGUCCUAGGGAGUUAAUAGCGACAUUAACCCUGAAACUCUCCCAGUCAUGUGGUAUGAGCUGUCAGUCUCUCAGCAAACCCUCUCAGCAUGUGGCCUGUUGGGCAUGUGAGAUUCGUGAAUGGCUUGGGGGGCAGUACCAGAGUGACAUCGUCCCUCAGCAAUGGUCCGUGUGAGGACCAGCUGGCUCCUGCGCAGCCUGGAUGGCCAAUCUCUUGCUCCUCUGCCCUGCUCCCUUCAGCACCCGCCUUUACGUCUGGUUUCACUCCACACCAAGAAAAGAAUGAUGCCCCAACAGCCCUGGGAAAAGUGAAGCGGCCAUGGGCGAUGUCACCGUUCCACCAGGAGGAAUUUAUGAAGCCAGUUACACCUUAGCCAGGAAGUUGGUGGGGGGGCAGCCUCUAAUAACUGCCAGACUCUCAGCCCUGGCGGCUGUCAUCUUCAUACUUCCCCACUUAGUGGGAUGUCUUGAGGUAGUCAAAGGCAACACAGCCACAAUUAAACAUAACAAGAAAACAUAAUGGGACUUUGUCUUUCUAUGGGGCCUUUCAUUCUGAGAGCUCACCAGGUGGUUUUAUGAGCCUUGGGAAGCCCCCUGUUACUCC